UCUGGAGGGGUCCUGGCUUAGUGGCAGAGCAUCUGUUUUUCAUGCAGAAGGUCUCAAGUUCCAUCUCCAGCA
RNAcentral lists this transfer RNA (72 nucleotides) under Sphaerodactylus townsendi. RNAcentral describes it as "tRNA-Glu". The record is from RNAcentral. Lineage: Eukaryota; Metazoa; Chordata; Lepidosauria; Squamata; Sphaerodactylidae.